This is a long non-coding RNA of Dermochelys coriacea (leatherback sea turtle), 6642 nucleotides long. RefSeq lists it as uncharacterized. NCBI's taxonomy places the organism in Eukaryota, Metazoa, Chordata, Testudines, Dermochelyidae. The record is from RefSeq and is a predicted model, not a curated record. The transcript is spliced from 2 exons.
AUCCAGACCAGUGAGGGGCUAUAUGUCACCCCUGCACUACAAACUCUAGUACUUCACGAUAGCUUUGCUGCUGUAGCUCCCUCGUGGGCCACUCACAAACAGCCUUCCAGCCUGCAGGUAACACCCUGAGUGUACGGCUUCAGCCUGCUAACCACACACCAGUCACACACACUCUGGCUUCCACCAGCCUUGAUUACCACUUGCAGGGUGACCCUAACGCACUCCCAGUCCCAGAUUUUCCCCCAAAACAUGUGUUCUGGACAGUCCAGAUAUAAUAAGUCUGUUGCCCCUUAUAGGGAUCAAUAUACAACAGUCUGCUACCCUAAAUGGAGUUACCUAUACAUUUCACAUCACUGGAUUAAUUUUGAUUAAAGAAUAAAACAAGUUUGUUUAAUUACAAGGAGAGAGAUUUUAAGCGAGUACAAAUAUAAGGCAUUAAAGUCAGAAAUGGUUAAAAGAGAAAUAAAGAUAAAAUGCUUUCUAGUAACUAAAACUUAACAAACUAGACUUGGUUCAAGGUGAAGUCUCUUACCACAUGUUCCCAAUAACACUGCUGACCAAAUUUUCAGGCCAAGAUCUGCUCCCAAAGUCAAAUAGGCUGAUUUCUUUUGGCUUCUUAGGAGGUAAGUUCCAGCUACAACAUUUGGAUCCAAAUGUCAACCUCCUUCCCACCCCCAAAGUAAGUAGGUGCUUGGAACUAGCUUUUAUUUCAGUCAGUCUCCAAUAAAAUCAUCAUGAAAUACCUGCAAAGAUUAUUUCCCAGAAAAACAUCCCCCACAACAGCCUUUGCAUAUUUAAAGUACAAUUAAUGAUCAUUAUUACUUUACAGCAUUGAAAAGUGUGUUAAACAUUUCUCAGAAGUCACAGAAAGACAUUGUCCCUACCUCAAACCUAAAUUUUAUAUGGGAUGAAAUGAGUGUGACUAACAGUAGGAGGAGGAAGGAGUGAGGAAAGAUGAGGGUUAUAGCAAAAUUACCUUGUGGUUAAUCAAUUUAGGAACAUGCACAGGAGGUGGUACAGUUAAAAAUGUAAGAAGUAUAAAAAAAUAAAGAUUUAAAAUAGUGAAUAUCACUGAUUGUUAUUUUAUUAUUAUUAUCUAUAUUAACAUAGUUUCUAGGCACUCUGAUCAUGGACCAGGAGAGCUAGGUGCUGUACAAACACAGAACCAAAAUAUAGUCGCUACCCCAGAGAGCUACCAAAUGCAAAUUUCAAAGUGUAUAACAAACCUGUAGGUGCUACCACAAUAGAGACAUUAAAAUAAAUAAAAUAGCAAUAGUAACAACAGGAUUUUACACUCACCUAUACAAUUUGUAAUUCUCCUUGUAUGGCUAGCAACGUAAGUUCAUCCGGAUGAGAAACAAAGCCAAAACAAAGCCAACUUUGGUCUACUUUUUAAAAAUUUUUCCUCUUGAAUCUCAGAAAAUGCUCUGCAUCACCACACUGAAGGCUGUCAAACAGUACAGCCACCCAACAGUAACUAAGCCAGUGCAACCAAUAGCAACUCUACAUAUGAUGUGAGCAUGUGCAGGUCAUCCUGCCCCUCCCUAGACUCUGUCAACCCAAUCCUUUCUAAGUAGGCACAGGAUUGAAUUGUGCAAGCAAUGCAUUCUCAUCUCAAAGGGCAGGAUCCUUAUACUCUGGCCAGCUAACAAAAGGUUGCAGAGAGGCAGAGGGAAGGGGCGGGCAGUGAGCAUAGGCAUACACCCACAUCAAUUGCAGUAGUGCCGAUCUACCAGUAAAUAUAGACACGCCCUAAAGAUUCCUGUAUUAAUGUGGAAUUUAAGCCAAAUAACAGUAACAACAAAUGGAAAGUAACUAAUGACUAUUGUCUCCUUUAAAAUAAGAAAGCUCAGACAUAGAGACUCUGAUUUGGAACAAACAUUAACUUUAUGUUUCACAUUAAUUACGCAAAUGUCUAUAGAUUUCAGGAUAGACUUAGGGCUUGUCUAGAUGAAAGUUAGUGCACGCAAGCUGGGUUGUAAAUCCGCCUCACUAGCCUGCCACCCACUGUCUGUGUGGAGUGUGCUGCUACACACUAAAAGUUUCCUAGUGCACUUUGAUCCACCCACUUCAAAAUAGAAAUAGAUAAAAUCACAGUAGGGAACUUUUAGUACAUGGCAGCAGGGUCCACCCAGACAGUAAGUGUGAUGUAGAUUUACACCCCAGCUUGCCAUGCACUAACUGUUCAUCUAAACCAGCCCUUAGGGUAAAGGGGGCUCGGGGUGGCAUAAUAUUCUCAGAUCAUCUAUAUAUUGCAUGUGGAAGGCAUUGUGGUUGAAACCAUUCCUAUCAAUACCUGGAUGUCACUUUAUCCUUUCUGUAAGAGGCUUCAUAAUUGGCUCAAUGACAUAAUUGUCUUCCUCUGCCAAGCAAAGUGAUAGCCCAACAUCAUGUAUCAUUUUGGGGGCUCAUCUGAACAUCCAACAUGUCACUUUAACUCCCUUUUACCUUCCAAGACUGCACCUGGUUCUAGAGGCCUGAAGGUUUCUCCUUUCUAAGGAGUCUUCCAAAGUUGUUCCAAGCACUGGCCAGAAGAGAUCUCUAGAAAGUGUCCUCUCUUCCCCAAAAGUUCCCAGUCCCUGCGAAAGAUCCAUUUGUAUUAAAUCCUUGAAUCCCUGUUAUGACUCAUCUCACAAAGCUCCCCUUUAAAGCAAAUGGAUUUAAGACUUAAAAGUUCUUCUAUCUAGUAAGACGAAAAGGCUUCCUUACUUUAAGCAGGAGCAAAAUGUAUGAAUGAGAGUACACAUACUGUACUGUAAAUUAUAAUCAAUUCUGCCUGAUUUAGGAUUAGCAAUGUAUGGCAAGGCUCUGCCCCCAGUCUCCUAGACAAACUAUAAAUAACAUCCUACAGUCAAGGUAUUUGUGAAGGAAAUACAGUUUAUUACUGUCAUGAGACUAAGCCCCUUCUUUGCUUAUAGAUCAAAGACAGUGUCACUGUCUUCAAAGGCUGGCGGAAGAUGCCUUUAGUAAGGAAAUCCACACACAUCCCCAUGCCCAAACAUAUGUCAAAGGGAGAGUGUUUCAACUUGUUACCUAAAUGACUUGAAACAAAUCAGAUGUGAAACCAUAUGAGCCUGCGGCUUUUUGAGACUGUAAACUUUUUUAUUACAGAUAAAGCUAAUGGCCUAUGCAAUGACUCAGCCUUCUGCUCAGGAGUUGCAUAAGGUUAACCAAGGAAAUUUGAAGUUGAUAUGGAAGAGUGCAACAGGGAAUGUUAGCACUAGACUAUAUGAACUGAUUACAUUGUUCCAAGAACCUACUGUAUUUAACGCAUUUGACAGAUACCACAUCAGCAGCCCAAACUUUGCCCAAUUGAGGGCCAUACUGUCAACUAGCCAGGAGCCUAAGGCAAUACCUAAUCUGCAUAAAAUCUAAUACACAGCGGCCACUCAUCUCUAAUGCAGAUUACAGGUCCCAGAAUGCAUGUUACAUCUUGAGCCAAGCACUCCAUCCAUUCAAUUUAAGAUGGAUCAUUGCACAUUCCCAAGGCUGCUCCUACAUAUUAAAAAGUAAAAUCACUAGCCACUUGGCAGAACACCAGGGGAUGUAGUUUGGCUGAAGUACUACGUACUGGACACGGUGCUAAUAUAGUGUCCAUCAUUGCAGUAUCUAAGUGCUGUUAUCUCUAAUGGCAGGCUCCCCUAUAUUUCUGCCUCAAUUCUGUUCUGAAGGUACCACAUUCGAGGUGAGAGGGUCACUCAGUUUCCACAAUCCAUCCAGUCUUUGCCAUCACCUGUGGUGCCACUUAAGGCAUUUUUGUGAUGUGAUGUGGGCACUCUGCAAUUGAUUUUUUUAUUAUUUAGUAGUAGUAUUUUUAAGACAGGCCCAGAUCCUUAGUGGAUGUAAAUUGAUAUAGAUACAUUGACCUCAAAUGAGCUACAAUGAUUUAUAGCAGCUAAGGUUCAGGCCCUUUAUCUUUAUCUUAGAAUUUUUUGCUUUCAAACAUUUUUCUAAAGUAACUACAACAUUCUAUGAUAAUAUAGGUCUUUUCCUAAUCUGCCUUUUAUCUCUGAUUAAUCUGUAAUUAUAAAUUUAGCUCUAUCAUAACAAAGUUUUUCUCUGGAAAUUAUACUUGCAACAUUACCUAGGUAGGUGCGUUUACUAUAAUCACUCUCAUUGUUCAUCUUUUUUUUCCCAAAAUACACUCUAGGAAGAAGCAUUAGUUCUGGAGGGAGUUGCAAUAUAUAUUCCUGAAGCUGCAAUUCACUGCUGGAUGCAGAACAGGGGAGGGCAGAAAGGGCAAUGUUUGCUGGAGUUUCUUAUUGCUUUCCACUGCAAAAAUGUUAUUUCUAACAGUAAAGCUACAUGCCUGAUACUUGUUACUUUAAUCUGUUCUUAGAAACAACCCUUUUUCUUUUUAAAGUUUACUUUUUACUGACUUUUUCAAAUGACAUGGUUUUGGUCACUAUAGCUUUUCAUUCUUGUUGCUGUUCUGAAGGUCCAGAAAGAACAAUUGCAGCAGAAAUGUUCUGUAAGGAAACACGACUUCCCUCUACAGUAAAGUUCUUCAGUUGAGAACCAUCACUCUUACUGAGGCUAUUGUAAAAUACAAAAUAUAAAGUUCCCUGUGCUGAAAAUUUCAAGUUUCCUGCAUUUUUAUAACCACUUCAGCCAUGCCAAAACACCUAGGGAGUGAAUCAUUUUGAAUUUGCUGAACCCAAAAUAUGAGACAAUAAUGCUAUUCUUGAAACUUCCUCUGCUGGACCCUGAUGUUCAUGCUCAGAUGAUGUAGCUCCCAAGUGACUUUGUAUGUGUGACACUGUAUCACAGUUUUGAACAGCUCUAUUUGGUGCCCUACAACUUUCAUGGUAGCUGGAAUGCAGACAGAAAAAGCAUGAAAAAUGUAUUUCCACUAGGAAAGUAUAUUCAGAUUUUUAAUAAGAAUUAUCUGGCCCACUGUGUAAAAUGAUAUUUAGGACAGUAGAAAAAAGUAUUUGCAGUAUCAAAUGUCAUAAACAGAAUGGAAGGCCCGAGGUGGAGCUAAUGUGGAGUUCAACAUGGCUCAUGCCAAUUCUGUUUUAAAAAAUAAAAUUUGUCCACUGUCGUAUGGUAUUGCUGAGAUGCAUAUUUGUUGAAACAGAAGUUGUUAGGCUCAGCAUAAUUUCAUGUGAGUGGUGAAGGUGUGUAAUAUGACAGCCCAACUCCCUAGUUCACAUGGCUAAACCUGCACCUACAUUACUGCAAAGAUAAUACAUCGAACAGGAUGUCUUGGUCAAAAUAUCAGAUCCCCUGGCUUUCCAAAGAUUACUAUAAGGUCAUAUUAAAUCCGUGUAAAUUAUAUGUAAAAUUUAAACAAAUACCACGAGGAAUUGUUUGAGAGGCAAUAAAAGCAAAUAAAAAUUAACAGCAACCUAUUGCAACAGGGAGCAGAGUGGAAAUCUUCACUUUGUGCCAACAGCUCUGGAAGUAUCUCUGAGCUAGACUUACGGCUUAAGCUGUGUAUCACAUUGGAACCACACUCCAAUACAUUCAACAUGGAAGUUAUACAUAAGAAAAUAUGCACUGUAAAUAUUUGAGGAAGCACAAAAAUGCAAGUCUUGGAAGCAAACUAAAUAAGUUGCUUGGGGAAAUAGCACCCUGCAACCUAUCUUGUUCUGGCAAAAGAACAAUGUUUCAUAAAAUGCGAUCAGUAAACUUAUGGAUUUGACUGUACCUCUAAAUACAGAUGGGUCUGAACACUACCAAAGAGGGGUGUCUGAAAAUCCAGCUCCUAACUUUCCUAAAGGUCAGGAUGUUUCGAUUCAAACCAACAGAGAAAGGAUCUCAACUGCAUCUGGAUGCAGGGCUUUGAUUUGGGCCUAUUAUCUCAAUAUAUAGUAUUAUAUUAUAACUGAAGAAGCUUUGUGAACAAAUUCUCUUUUUCUUAAUGUUAUGAACUAAAGUGGGUGGGGAAUGGCUUAAUGGACAAAUAUAUCUUGCUUCUAUAGAGCCAUCCACAGUCUUAAAUCCCAGAAUCACUGCCACAGACCAUCAUCCCACCUGAGUAGAUAAACUGCGCUCCAUGUUGCUUAUUGUGUGUGGGAUCUUUCUGAGGAGACCUUAAAAACCAAGGUCCUGUCAGCUCUGUGCUGAUGAAAAGGAUCCUGUGAUGGCUGUGAGGAGACUGGCACAGAGCUGGUAAUGCUAGCCCUAUGAUACCCUGAAGAUUUCACUACAGGAAGCCAGCUUUGUCUGCUUUACACUGCUAGAGCAAUGGAAACAGACUUAUUGGUGGCCAGAAUCUCGUUUGCCCAUGGUGACAUUCUCUGCCAGUUCUAUGAAGCAAGGAGGAUAUUCAUGUGUUGAAAAUCAUCAGUUAGCUAGAACAUAAAAUCAAUGUAUUUAAAUGUGUUUAGUGUGUUUUUAAAAGCAAGUUUCUUGGAAGACUGCUAUUUAUAUACACCAGUAGAGAUCUAAUGAUGUAUUUAUACUUCUUGGAGUUUUUUUCUUAAAUUUUUCUGCCACUGUAUCAAGGUUCUGAAUGGUCACUUGUUCUCUGAUGUGUAAUUUUCUAGAGCCUUAUGUCAUCAAGUUUUAGACAGGCUAAAGAUCAGAGGUUUUGAUUUCCAUUCAUCUCUACUUAACUGAAAUGAAGCCACAUCUGAAGAAUGUAUCUGAUUCUGCAAGCCAUAAAUAUAUAUGUUUUUGAUACUGGAUAAUUAA